GGGUUGUGAGGUUAAGCGACUAAGCGUACACGGUGGAUGCCCUGGCAGUCAGAGGCGAUGAAGGACGUGCUAAUCUGCGAUAAGCGUCGGUAAGGUGAUAUGAACCGUUAUAACCGGCGAUUUCCGAAUGGGGAAACCCAGUGUGUUUCGACACACUAUCAUUAACUGAAUCCAUAGGUUAAUGAGGCGAACCGGGGGAACUGAAACAUCUAAGUACCCCGAGGAAAAGAAAUCAACCGAGAUUCCCCCAGUAGCGGCGAGCGAACGGGGAGCAGCCCAGAGCCUGAAUCAGUAUGUGUGUUAGUGGAAGCGUCUGGAAAGGCGCGCGAUACAGGGUGACAGCCCCGUACACAAAAAUGCACAUGCUGUGAGCUCGAUGAGUAGGGCGGGACACGUGGUAUCCUGUCUGAAUAUGGGGGGACCAUCCUCCAAGGCUAAAUACUCCUGACUGACCGAUAGUGAACCAGUACCGUGAGGGAAAGGCGAAAAGAACCCCGGCGAGGGGAGUGAAAAAGAACCUGAAACCGUGUACGUACAAGCAGUGGGAGCACGCUUAGGCGUGUGACUGCGUACCUUUUGUAUAAUGGGUCAGCGACUUAUAUUCUGUAGCAAGGUUAACCGAAUAGGGGAGCCGAAGGGAAACCGAGUCUUAACUGGGCGUUAAGUUGCAGGGUAUAGACCCGAAACCCGGUGAUCUAGCCAUGGGCAGGUUGAAGGUUGGGUAACACUAACUGGAGGACCGAACCGACUAAUGUUGAAAAAUUAGCGGAUGACUUGUGGCUGGGGGUGAAAGGCCAAUCAAACCGGGAGAUAGCUGGUUCUCCCCGAAAGCUAUUUAGGUAGCGCCUCGUGAAUUCAUCUCCGGGGGUAGAGCACUGUUUCGGCAAGGGGGUCAUCCCGACUUACCAACCCGAUGCAAACUGCGAAUACCGGAGAAUGUUAUCACGGGAGACACACGGCGGGUGCUAACGUCCGUCGUGAAGAGGGAAACAACCCAGACCGCCAGCUAAGGUCCCAAAGUCAUGGUUAAGUGGGAAACGAUGUGGGAAGGCCCAGACAGCCAGGAUGUUGGCUUAGAAGCAGCCAUCAUUUAAAGAAAGCGUAAUAGCUCACUGGUCGAGUCGGCCUGCGCGGAAGAUGUAACGGGGCUAAACCAUGCACCGAAGCUGCGG
RNAcentral lists this ribosomal RNA (1172 nucleotides) under Escherichia coli. RNAcentral's name for it is "partial 23S ribosomal RNA". It matches the Rfam family "Bacterial large subunit ribosomal RNA", at positions 1 to 1205 of the family's 2925-position model. The record is from RNAcentral. Lineage: Bacteria; Pseudomonadati; Pseudomonadota; Gammaproteobacteria; Enterobacterales; Enterobacteriaceae.